This is a long non-coding RNA of Leopardus geoffroyi (Geoffroy's cat), 406 nucleotides long. RefSeq lists it as uncharacterized. The record is from RefSeq and is a predicted model, not a curated record. NCBI's taxonomy places the organism in Eukaryota, Metazoa, Chordata, Mammalia, Carnivora, Felidae. The transcript has 3 exons.
UGUGCACGUGGCCCAAGGCCAGACCGACCUCCCCUGCGAAAAGCCUCCCUUUGCUCCUACUUCCCGCCCGAGGGUUUCCAGCUCCGUUGCGUCUGCCAGCCAGACUGUGGUGAGUUUUGAUGAAGGAAGUUGCUGUGUCAGAGAAACCCACGUGACCAGGAACCAGCGAACUCCCACCCAGGGCCAACAGGGUAUUGAGGACCUCAAGCCAACAGGCUUUGAGGCAUGCAUCCUGCCAACAAUUGACACCUGAGCAGGGUCAAAUAAAGGGCCCCGGGAUAAAACUGAGAAGGCCACUGUCAGGCUUCUUACAAGGGACCAGUAUGGAUGUAGAAGCCCAAAGAGGAAAUCGGUAAGAGCUGAACUCACUUCUUCCUUUCCCAAAGCACAAGUCCCCCCUCCUAUA